CCAAAUCUACCAUUUUCCUCCCCAUAAACUACCUUGGUGGGCUAUUGCACCUAGAAACCCUCUCCAUUUAAUUUUUUUUUCUCCUUUUUGCUCUCCUCCUCUCUUUUAGCCACCCUUCCUCAUUGCUCUUCCUAUUUUCUCCUAUUUUAUUUUUUUCACCUCCCUUUCUUUUGUUUUCUCCUCUACUCCUCCACCACUAAAGGCCACCGAACCUUCACCUCAUCACCACCGAAACACUGCCUCUUCUCCUCUGCGUCGCUGUCGUCAACCAGUGCCAAAUUUUUUUAUUUCUCUUAUUUUCUUCCUCUCUUUCUG
Molecule: long non-coding RNA, 315 nt
Filed under: Gossypium raimondii (Peruvian cotton)
Lineage: Eukaryota; Viridiplantae; Streptophyta; Magnoliopsida; Malvales; Malvaceae
Description: long non-coding RNA (GRAI_LNC005519)
Source: RNAcentral